AGAGUGAGAGAGCUCCUCAGCUUGAGCAAGAGAAAAGAAAGGGAGAUGUGUGAGCUGCAAUUCCUGUUCUGUCCGAGAGAAUGAAGUGAGAAAGGGAGAGAGAGCCGAGCCUUCUACUUCAUCACCUCCUGACCGCAUGCUAGAAAUAAAAGUGAGAGACCUGCUGCUUUCCCUCAUCUCAUCCGCCAGCCUGUAUAAGAGAAGGAGAGGAAACGGGCUGCACUUCGAACCAUCCGAGAGAAGGAAAAAUUGACAGCACCUUGUCGCGUGUAUAAGCUGCAACCUGAGGUAAUUUCUGAGUUAGAAGGAGUUGAUUAGUGGUAGAUGCAGUGAAUUAUGGUCAUGCAUGAAGUGUUUAUGUCUCGGAUGAUGAAACCAAAGCAUGAGAAAAUCUGAUUAGGAAGAAAUUGGAAUUUGCCGUGGGAGUGAUUUGGAAAAUGCAGAUUUAAUUCUGUCUCUUCGUAGUAGUUUGAGCUGAUAGAUGCGUUUAACUAAUUAAGAACAAGGUAAUUAAGCUCUGCAUGCAGCCCCUUGGUUCGGUUAUGCUAGAAAAAUAAGAAUGAAAAACAAUCUGGCCGCAUGCAAGCUCAUCCGAAGGUAGCAAACAGAAUUUCUGGUUUUCUUGGAUGAUUAUGGCUGUUGUUUGAAUCCGAUUUUGAACUAGAAAUAUUGAUUAGCUAGAGAAGUAUUUGCAUGUUAAUUUUUAGCACCUAAUACCAUGAAUUAACCGAAGGAAAAGUUGGAUUUAUGACCAAUCUAAUUGCUAGAAAUCUGUUGAGUUGGCCGAGAGAGGGAAAGAAAGAAUUUCCAGUUUUUCUCUUCAAAUCUUGGCUGCAAAUUUCGUAUUAUGGUUCAAUAUACCUCAUAACACAAUAAUCACCAUAUGCAUGCUGAGUUUGAGUGAACAAAGUAAUGAAUUUUGUUAGGGAAAAGUUCGUUUUCCAAACUAUCUAUUUGCUGCAAUUUUUCCAGCCUAGCCGAUGGUGACUCCUUUGAGUUUUAAUGGAAAAUUUGGUGAGUGGACUCUAUGAAAUCCCACAAUAACUUGGAUGAUCUGAUUAGCUAGGAUUGGAUGCUGCUUGUGUUGAUUAAGUGCUAAUGUAGUAGAGUUAAGUGGCAAAAUUGAAAAGGAAGCCAAUUGAGGAGCUGCAUGUAAUGACGCCGCUUCUGCCCUGCUAUUUUCGUGCAUUUAGUGUAAUUUCUUGAAGUUCAAUUGACUUGUUCCUGAUGCAAAUGUGAAAUAUAGGUUGUGUUUAAAGUUUCUUCAAAAUUUUACGUGAUUUGGGUGAGUGCAUGUUGAGUUUUAAAAUCUGCCAAAUCUGGAAAACUGUUCCCGUAAUACUCAGGCAGUCCCCUUGUUUUGGCCAUAACUCUGUACUCCGAUGUCGAAAUUGAGUACCGUCAGUGGCAUUUGAAACUAGACAUUCCUAGCUUUCCAUUGGUACCAAAUGAACAUUCUGGUUCCACUUGAGUAAGCCACACCAUUCGAUUGAAAAUCACUGUCCUGUUUCGUUUCUCUCUAGGAGACAGGACAGGACUUGUAUCUUGAUGCUCAAAAACGAGUUGUUUGUGAAUGGAAUUUGAAAAUGAUUUCUUCUGUGAAAUUAUAGCCCUACAAAUUUAUUUUCCAACGCCACUAACCAUGCUCAAUUCUGAGUUGAAUUGAGUGAUUUGUGAUCAAAAUAAGGAACCUGCCCUGCUCUUGGAAAUCCUAACUUUUGACAGAUUUGAUGCAAGGCUUGGUAUAGACUUGCUAAUUAAAUUUCUUGGUGUUAAACACCCACCAAAGGUACCAUGAAUGUUCUUUAAAUUUUGCCUAAACAAAUGAACCAGGUUUGGAGGAAUUUUUCUUUGACCAAAUGUCUGAAAUGGAAAAACAAAAGGUUCAAGGCAGUUUUGUUUUACUAUUUGUGAAAUUUUAGGUGUUUGAUUGACCACCUUUCCGAAGUUAUUUUUCCAUGAAAUUUGGUAGAAGGACAACCCUUAUAUGCUAGUAUUAUACUGCUAAUUAUGGUGUUAUUCUGAGGCCGUUUCAUGGGUCAAAUAAAUUACCAAAGUUCAUGACUCGAGUUUGAAAAAUCCAUGUUUCACAAGGGAAUUUUAGUAACUUUGAGCUACCGUAUCUUGGUACUCAAAACCCCGUUUCUCGUUCUGUUUGUUUUGUUAUACUCUUGGAUUACAACACUAAUAGAGUUGAAAAUUUCAAAAGUUAGUUCCAAACAAGUGAAUUUUGCCGAAUUUCCAAAGUUGGCCAAAAACCAACUUAAAUCUGCCUUAUGAACCAAAACAGUAAAUUUGAGCCAUUUUUUUACUAUCUUCCAUUUAGAAUCAUGGAAAAGUGUAUUUUAGGAACUUUUAGUACUUUGGAAGAGGUUUCCAACGGUACCAAGUUUUCCAAUUUUUGACAUGUAGAAUGUGAGAUACGAUUUUUCAAAGUAUCGUAUCAAAACUGAAAAUUUUCCGAAUUCCACGGAAGGGAGUUUUUCAAGUACUCCUUAUUCCUUCGAUAUUAUUCAAAUGUUUUAUCCUUGAUUUUCAUGAUGUAGACUUAAUUUCUCUUGUACCUUAAAACCCCGCUUGAGAGUCUCGAUUUAGGAUAAUUAAGGCUUGUUUCACGAGAUUUUUGCUAAGAUUGUACUAUGAUACGAUCUUCAUCAAUAGUGGGGAUUAUAAAUGAUAGACUAUUACUAUUUGUUCAGGCGCACACGAGGACCUUCAAGAGGAUCCGACAGAGGACGCUUGAACUUCAAAUU
RNAcentral lists this long non-coding RNA (2753 nucleotides) under Coffea arabica (coffee). Its description in RNAcentral is "long non-coding RNA (CARA_LNC003351)". Lineage: Eukaryota; Viridiplantae; Streptophyta; Magnoliopsida; Gentianales; Rubiaceae. The record is from RNAcentral.